AAUACCGGCCCACGACCGAAUCCCGAAAGUUACCGGACGGCCCGUUUACUUCUCUGGGUUUUUUGGGUAAUAUUCCGGCCCAUCCCAGAUCUUCCCGACCCGGUAACCUACACGCUCCGGUUUUCUGAGCCACGAGGUCGACCCCGUGUAUUCUAUCGUGGAAAGGGGAGACGAGCGACCGAGGCGGCGACCGGCGGCGGGGAAAGGCGACGGCGGCGGGGCAAAUCAAGACGGCGCCGACGAGAUCCUCCUCCGGCGACUGAUCCCCGAUACCUGCACCUUGGCCUAUUGUUGGAUUGGAUCAGCCACCUCCAUCUUGGGAACUUGUGAGAACUCCUGUUUUUGAUCCUUGCGGCUACUGCAAUCUUCCACAACAUAAUCAGAAGUCAACAUGGUGACGAAGAGUGGCUUGACCAUGAAGAUGAAGACCUUAUUCCUGUUGCUAACCAUGUUGAUUUGCCCAAUGGGGAUGAUAACCACCAAGGACACAACCUUGCAGGCAAUAACUUGAGAGAUCAAAUAGCAAUGCAGAUGUGGAAUGAUUUCCAACAUGAUUAGCUCUUGUAUCAUGUAGUAGUAAUUUGUUAAUGUAAUAAUGGAAUCAAUGUACUAUGUUUUGUCGGAGAAUAAGUUUGUAAUGGACUCACUGUAAUGAUUGCCAAUAUGUUUGUAAUGGACUCACUGUAUUAUGGUUCCUGUCUUAU
Molecule: long non-coding RNA, 704 nt
Organism: Lolium perenne
Lineage: Eukaryota; Viridiplantae; Streptophyta; Magnoliopsida; Poales; Poaceae
Source: RefSeq, a predicted model, not a curated record